AUUAUUAUUAUUAUUAUUAUUAUUAUUAUUAAGGUCAAAAGUGGUGCAAAUGAAAUAGUGCAAUAAUAGUACCAACAUUUCCUUGCAUUUCAGCAGUUACGUAUUGUAGACUGUAAACUUCUGCCUGCUUGUAUGACAAUUACACUAUAUGGCCAAAAGUUUGUGGACACCUGACCUUAAUACCCAUAUGUGCUUUUUGAACAUUCCAUUCCAGAUGUAUUCUUCCCUUUGUUGUUAUAAUAACUUCCACUCUUCUCGAGAAAGGCUUUCCACUAGAUUUUGGAGUGUGGCUGUGGGGAUUUGCUCAUUCAGAGCAUUAGUGAAGUCAGGCACUGGGGCACAGUUGGUUUAGUGAACAGUGGACUCGUUCAACAAAACAGACUUCAUGUGAAAAUGAUCUUUCCUUUACUUUCACACUAUCCGUCAUCACCCAGAUGAGGAUUGGUUCCUUUCUGAGUCUGGUUCUUCUCAAGGUUUCUUCCGCAUAUCAUCUUAGGGAGUUUUUCCUCGCCACCGGCUCGCUCAUUAGGGAUAAUUUCACACACAUAUAAUAUGUAUCCUGUGUUUAUAUGUUUCUGUAAAGCUGCUUGGAGACAAUUUCCAUUGUCAAACGCGCUAUACAAAUAAAAAUUGAAUUGAACUUAACUGAAUUGAAUUGUUCCAAUUCAUCCCAAUGGUGUUCAGUGUGGUUGAGGUCAAGGCUCUGUGUGCAGCCCACUGGAGUUCUUCCACUGCGACCUCGGCAAUCUAUGCCUUCAUGGACCUCACUUUACACUCGGGUAUUGUCAUGCUGGAACAGGUUUGGUCCUCUUAGCUCCAGUGAAGGGAAAUUGUAAUGCUAGAGCAUAAAGGCAUACUGUACAAUUGUGUGCUUCCAACUUUGUGGCAAAAGUUUGUGGAAGACUUUCAUAUGGGUGUGAUGGACAUUGUGUCCACAUACUUUUGGCCAUAUAGUGUAUUUCAUUUUGCAAAAUGUAUCGAACAAGGUAUUAAAACACAGGUUAGUAUUAUAAACGUUGGCUUACCCCACUGUGAGUGGAAACGCUCUUGGUUUUCAUGGCAACUUCUUUUACUUGCAGAGGCUGGAUUUGUCACAUAUUUUGCUGCACAGGGGUUGGUUAGGUGUUCAUGGAAGAGGUGGUUCUUUAGCUGUUUUUUGAAGAUACUGACAGAUUCUGCAGUCUGGACUGAGGUUGGAAGUUCAUUCCAUCACUGAGGGACAGAUACUGUGAAGGUUCUGGAAAGUUAUGCAGUAGUAUGCAUGUGACACUAUCUUUUUCUUUUUAAAUCUAUCCAUUAACAUUUAGUUAUUUAACAUACACUAGAUUUCCUCAAGCACACAACAAUAACUCUUUGCUCCUAGGAUUUAAUCUCAACCUUCCAGACAUUAGCAGAGAAUCUUAAAUGCUGAGCUAUCUAUUUAUCUAGACAACUACUCAGCAGUUGUAAUAAAUAAAUAAAUAAAUAAAUAAAAUGGUAAUGUAAUCACAUUGAACAAAACAAUAGAUAAGCAUUUAAUCUACACCUUGGGUUUUCUCUGCUCACUACACACCUGAUCAAGCUUGAAAUCUGAUUUGAUGUGAAAUCUGAUCAGCCUUGAAACCUGAACUAUUAAUCAACUACUCUAACUGUUCAUUCAUCCAAUUACCCAUCAGUCAGUACUUAAUGUGUGAGAACGUAAUCAAGUCUGAACAGCAGCAUUCACAACAAGACCCUGGAAAAGGUGGGGAGAUUGCCCUGAUGAAACACUAACCACAACACCCACACCACCUAGUGGAUGAACAUUUAAUGUCAAAUUCAAACAAGCUUCUUUUUAUAUUUGAUAAGGGUCUUCCGCAAUAAAUAUUUGAAUCAGUAUUCUGCAUUUUGUUGAAGAAAGGUUAAAUAAAGGUUUAAAGAAAGCUUUAUAAAUUCAGUUGUAUUUUCACAUCAUCAACCAGACAGAUAAUGGCAAGUUAGAGUGCCCUCCACUAACAGUGGCACCCUUGAUAAAUAUGAGUAAAGAAGGCUGUGAAAAUUUCCUUUAUUGUUUAACCUUUUGACGUUUUUGUUUAAAAACAAUCACAAAAAUACUCUUUUAAAAUUAAUCUUUGCUAAAUAUAGGUGUGCAAUGAUUAUUGGUACAUAUGAAUGCAUAUGAAAAAAAUAUAAUUGAAGUAUAUUCCCAUUGAUAUUUAAAAAAAUUUUCAUACUCUUGGGUGACUAGGAACAGGAAAUUGUUCAACCUUGACUUCCUGUUUCACAGGGAUAUAAAUAUGAGGUAACACACAGGCCAAAUUCCCUCAGUCGUACAUAACAAUGGGUAAGACCAAGGAAUAAAGCUGGGACGUGCAGAAAAAGGUUGUUGAGGUUCACAAAAUGGGAAGUGGCUAUAAGAAAAUAGCACAAGCAUUUAAAAUGCUCAUUUCCACCAUAAGAGCAAUAAUUAAGAAGUUCCAGUUAACUGGAAAUGUUAUGAAUCAACCUGGAAUUGGACGUGUGUCUGUAUUUUCUCAACACACUGUGAGGAGGAUGGCUCGAGUGGGAAAAAAAUCUCCAAGGAUCACAGCUGGAGAACUGCAGAAGUUAGUUGUGUCUUGGGGUCAGAAAGUCUCCAAAACCACAAUCCGAAGUCACCUACAUCACCACAAGUUGUUUGAAAGGGUUUCAUGAAAAAAGCCGCUACUCUCAUCCAAAAACAAACUCGAGCGUCUUCAGUUUGCCAGACAUUACUGGAACUUCAAAUGGGAUUGGUUUCUGUGGUCAGAUGAAACAAAAUAGAGCUUUUUGGCAAUAAACACCAGAGGUGGUUUUGGCACACAGAGAGGUAGCCAUAUGGAAAAGUACCUCAUGCCCACGGUUAAAUAUGGUGGUGACUCUUUAAUGUUUUGGGGCUGUUUUUCUGCCAGAGGACCUGGACAUUUUGUUAGGAUACAUGGCAUCAUGGACUCUGUCAAAUAUCAACAGAUAUUAAAUGAAACCCUGACUGUCUCUGCCAGAAAGAUUAAAAUGGGCUGUGGUUGGAUCUUCCAGCAGGUCAGUGAUCCAAAACAUACAUCAAAAUCAACACAAAAAUGGUUUACUGACCACAAAAUCAAGGUCCUGCCAUGGCCAUCCCAGUCCCCUGACUGAAACCCAUAGAAAACCUG
Molecule: long non-coding RNA, 3128 nt
Organism: Ictalurus punctatus (channel catfish)
Lineage: Eukaryota; Metazoa; Chordata; Actinopteri; Siluriformes; Ictaluridae
Source: Ensembl